RNAcentral lists this ribosomal RNA (392 nucleotides) under uncultured bacterium. Its description in RNAcentral is "bacterial SSU rRNA". It matches the Rfam family "Bacterial small subunit ribosomal RNA", at positions 355 to 764 of the family's 1533-position model. The record is from RNAcentral.
UAGGGAAUAUUAGUAAUGGGCGAAAGCCUGAACUAGCAACGCCGCGUGUGCGAAGAAGGCCUUCGGGUUGUAAAGCACUUUUAGAGAGGAUGAGGAAGGACGGUACUCUCAGAAUAAGUCUCGGCUAACUACGUGCCAGCAGCCGCGGUAACACGUAGGAGGCGAACGUUAUCCGGAUUUACUGGGCGUAAAGCGCGUGUAGGUGGUUUGGUAAGUAGGGCGUGAAAGCUCCCGGCUCAACUGGGAGAGGCCGUUCUAAACUGCCAAGCUAGAGGAUGGUAGAGGGAGGUGGAAUUCCGGGUGUAGCGGUGGAAUGCGCAGAUAUCCGGAGGAACACCAGUGGCGAAGGCGGCCUCCUGGGCCACUCCUGACACUCAGACGCGAAAGCUAGG